UCCGUCGUAGUCUUGGUGGUUAGCAUACUCCGCUCUCACCCGAGAGACCCAGGUUCAAGUCCUGGCGACAGAA
Molecule: transfer RNA, 73 nt
Filed under: Triticum aestivum (bread wheat)
Lineage: Eukaryota; Viridiplantae; Streptophyta; Magnoliopsida; Poales; Poaceae
Rfam family: tRNA
About the family: Transfer RNA (tRNA) molecules are approximately 80 nucleotides in length. Their secondary structure includes four short double-helical elements and three loops (D, anti-codon, and T loops). Further hydrogen bonds mediate the characteristic L-shaped molecular structure. tRNAs have two regions of fundamental functional importance: the anti-codon, which is responsible for specific mRNA codon recognition, and the 3' end, to which the tRNAs corresponding amino acid is attached (by aminoacyl-tRNA synthetases). tRNAs cope with the degeneracy of the genetic code in two manners: having more than one tRNA (with a specific anti-codon) for a particular amino acid; and 'wobble' base-pairing, i.e. permitting non-standard base-pairing at the 3rd anti-codon position.
Source: Rfam by way of RNAcentral